GUGGGUAACCUGCCUGUAAGACUGGGAUAACUCCGGGAAACCGGGGCUAAUACCGGAUGCGCAUGGUUCAAUUAUAAAAGGUGGCUUUUAGCUACCACUUACAGAUGGACCCGCGGCGCAUUAGCUAGUUGGUGAGGUAACGGCUCACCAAGGCAACGAUGCGUAGCCGACCUGAGAGGGUGAUCGGCCACACUGGGACUGAGACACGGCCCAGACUCCUACGGGAGGCAGCAGUAGGGAAUCUUCCGCAAUGGACGAAAGUCUGACGGAGCAACGCCGCGUGAGUGAUGAAGGUUUUCGGAUCGUAAAACUCUGUUGUUAGGGAAGAACAAGUACCGUUCGAAUAGGGCGGUAACCUUGACGGUACCUAACCAGAAAGCCACGGCUAACUACGUGCCAGCAGCCGCGGUAAUACGUAGGUGGCAAGCGUUGUCCGGAAUUAUUGGGCGUAAAGCGCGCGCAGGCGGUUUCUUAAGUCUGAUGUGAAAGCCCCCGGCUCAACCGGGGAGGGUCAUUGGAAACUGGGGAACUUGAGUGCAGAAGAGGAGAGUGGAAUUCCACGUGUAGCGGUGAAAUGCGUAGAGAUGUGGAGGAACACCAGUGGCGAAGGCGACUCUCUGGUCUGUAACUGACGCUGAGGCGC
RNAcentral lists this ribosomal RNA (643 nucleotides) under uncultured denitrifying bacterium. Its description in RNAcentral is "bacterial SSU rRNA". It matches the Rfam family "Bacterial small subunit ribosomal RNA", at positions 117 to 754 of the family's 1533-position model. The record is from RNAcentral.